ACUGUUCGCUCAUCUAGAUACCACAAAAGGUGUUGGUUCAUUUUAGACAGCAAGGGACGGGUUGGUCAUAGGAAGUCGAAAAUCCGCUAAGGAGUGUGUAACAACUCACCUGCCGAAUGAACUAGCCCUGAAAAUGGAUGGCGCUUAAACGUAUUACUUAUACUUUACCAUUAAGAUAAAUGCUAAAUCUUAAUGAGUAGGAGGGCGUAUGGAUAAUUUAGAAGGCUAACAGUGAUGUUGGUUGGAAUUAUCUUUAGUGCAGAUCUUGGUGGUAGUAGCAAAUAUUCAAUAGAGAACAUUGAAGACUGAAGUGGAGAAAGGUUUCACAUGAACAACACUUGGAUGUGAGUUAGUCGAUCCUAAACGGUGGGUUAACUCCAAAUACAUGGAUACUUGUAUCCUGUACCGUGAAAGGG
This 416-nucleotide ribosomal RNA is filed under the name uncultured eukaryote. RNAcentral's name for it is "eukaryotic LSU rRNA". It matches the Rfam family "Eukaryotic large subunit ribosomal RNA", at positions 1192 to 1602 of the family's 3401-position model. The record is from RNAcentral.